Syngnathoides biaculeatus (alligator pipefish) is the source of this 993-nucleotide long non-coding RNA. RefSeq lists it as uncharacterized. The record is from RefSeq and is a predicted model, not a curated record. NCBI's taxonomy places the organism in Eukaryota, Metazoa, Chordata, Actinopteri, Syngnathiformes, Syngnathidae. The transcript has 5 exons.
UGAAGUCAAUUCUCUAUUGCGUAUUCCAGAUAAUAUUGGAGUAUGUUUUUUGUAAAGUGUGUCAGACUUGUCUAAGAGUUCUACAUAGAGGUCAUAACUAUUUAACGCAAAGAUAUGUACACGGAAUUAAGAUUUUCGACGGAGCAGGACUCAAUGUCAGCGUUACAGCAAAAUGUUGGCAAUCGAUGCACAAAAUUUGACGCCUCACAAACUUCAUAUUGAAAUCCAACAGGAUAAAAUAGUGGAAUCAUACUGCGUAUGUAAAGCAGGAUGGAGGCAGAGUUCAGUGCCUGGUCAGUCAAGGUGACAGCAACCUUGCUGUGGAAGCCAAAGUUCUGCAAAUAAUCACGGAUCUCAAACAAGAACAACUUGAUUGAAGGGACGGCAGCAGGAAAAUCAAGCUCAAGCUCACAAAGUCACAAGCCAAGGUAUAAUCACCUGCUCAAAUGGAGCAAUAGCAGACUAAGUUGUCUUGCCAAAGAACACACGGACACUGGAAUUCAGGCAACGGCUGGCAUGCACUGGCUGAAACUCUCAAAGCCAAAAAGUUAACAGUAAACUGAAAUGAGUUUUAGCAAUACUUUCAGAUAAGCAAGCCAACCCAACUGCCCUGAAUCGCCUUGGCAACAAGCCGUGCUGGCAACAGAGCUCCCUCACCUUGAGCACAACUGGCCCGCCUAUAGAGGACAUAGCAAAAUGUAUGAUAUAAAGUUAUGUAUGCGUGCGCUUGUACAAGCAGCACUUCAUUGAGGGAGAAAUAUGAAGUGUCUGUCAGAUAGGUCUGAUAUAAAAGUGAUAGAUGGCUGCACAACAAUGAAUGGUUAUGGAUUUUGAGAGACAGAAUUUGAUGUGUGUUUUUGUCUGAUGCAUGCACUUGGCUUGGGGGGGCAAUAAUCUGUGUGUCUCAAUAAACAUUUUAAAGAGAUUGCUUGGCAAGAAAAAUAUUUUUUUUUUUUUAAGUUGAGGGGGCGAGAUUUUAAUUGCUGUGAUAAU